RNAcentral lists this ribosomal RNA (1406 nucleotides) under metagenome. RNAcentral's name for it is "bacterial LSU rRNA". It matches the Rfam family "Bacterial large subunit ribosomal RNA", at positions 1536 to 2925 of the family's 2925-position model. The record is from RNAcentral.
AAAAAUCCGUGUCCCACAUAUCCUGAGAGGUGAUGCGUAGCCGUUGAGGCGAAAUCCAUGAUCCUAUGCUGCCGAGAAAAGCCUCUAGCGAGCUGGUACACGGCCCGUACCCCAAGCCGACACAGGUGGUCAGGUAGAGAAUACUAAGGCGAUCGAGAGAACUGUGGUUAAGGAACUCGGCAAAAUGCCCCCGUAACUUCGGGAGAAGGGGGACCAGCCCUGGUGACGAAACUUGCUUUCCGAGCUGGGGGUGGUCGCAGAGACCAGAGAGAAGCGACUGUUUACUAAAAACACAGGUCCGUGCGAAGUCGUAAGACGAUGUAUACGGACUGACGCCUGCCCGGUGCUGGAAGGUUAAGAGGACCGGUCAGCCACUUCGGUGGCGAAGCUGAGAAUUUAAGCCCCAGUAAACGGCGGUGGCAACUAUAACCAUCCUAAGGUAGCGAAAUUCCUUGUCGGGUAAGUUCCGACCUGCACGAAUGGCGUAACGACUUCUCUGCUGUCUCAACCACAGACUCGGCGAAAUUGCAGUACGAGUAAAGAUGCUCGUUACGCGCGGCAGGACGAAAAGACCCCGGGACCUUCACUAUAGCUUGGUAUUGGUGUUCGGUUCGGUUUGUGUAGGAUAGGUGGGAGACUGUGAAGCGGGCACGCCAGUGCUCGUGGAGUCGUUGUUGAAAUACCACUCUGACCGUAUUGGACCUCUAACCUCGGACCAUGAUCUGGUUCAGGGACAGUGCCUGGUGGGUAGUUUAACUGGGGCGGUUGCCUCCCAAAAAGUAACGGAGGCGCCCAAAGGUUCCCUCAGCCUGGUUGGCAAUCAGGUGUUGAGUGUAAGUGCACAAGGGAGCUUGACUGUGAGACGUACAUGUCGAGCAGGGACGAAAGUCGGGACUAGUGAUCCGGCACCGGCAAGUGGAAGCGGUGUCGCUCAACGGAUAAAAGGUACCCCGGGGAUAACAGGCUGAUCUUCCCCAAGAGUCCAUAUCGACGGGAUGGUUUGGCACCUCGAUGUCGGCUCGUCGCAUCCUGGGGCUGGAGUAGGUCCCAAGGGUUGGGCUGUUCGCCCAUUAAAGCGGCACGCGAGCUGGGUUUAGAACGUCGUGAGACAGUUCGGUCUCUAUCCGCCGCGCGCGUAAGAAACUUGAGGAAACCUGUCCCUAGUACGAGAGGACCGGGACGGACGAACCUCUGGUGUGCCAGUUGUUCCACCAGGAGCACCGCUGGUUAGCUACGUUCGGAAGGGAUAACCGCUGAAAGCGUCUAAGCGGGAAGCCUGUUCCAAGAUGAGGUUUCUCACCACCUAGCGUGGGUAAGGCCCCCCACAGACCAUGGGGUUGAUAGGCCAGAACUGUAAGCACAGCAAUGUGUUCAGGUGACUGGUACUAAUCGGCCGAGGACUUACC